GGUUAAGUGAAUAAGGGCGCACGGUGGAUGCCUUGGCACUAGGAGCCGAUGAAGGACGGGACUAACACCGAUAUGCUUUGGGGAGCUGUAAGUAAGCUAUGAUCCAGAGAUUUCCGAAUGGGGGAACCCAAUAUCUUUUAUAGGAUAUUACUUUUCAGUGAAUACAUAGCUGAUUAGAGGUAGACGCAGAGAACUGAAACAUCUUAGUACCUGCAGGAAGAGAAAGAAAAUUCGAUUCCCUGAGUAGCGGCGAGCGAAACGGGAAGAGCCCAAACCAACAAGCUUGCUUGUUGGGGUUGUAGGACUCCAAUAUGGUAGUCUGUUAGUAUAGUUGAAGGAUUUGGAAAAUUCCGCUAAAGAGGGUGAAAGCCCCGUAGACGAAAUGCUGACAACACCUAGGAGGAUCCUGAGUACGGCGGAACACGAGAAAUUCCGUCGGAAUCCGCGGGGACCAUCCCGCAAGGCUAAAUACUCCCUAGUGACCGAUAGUGAACCAGUACCGUGAGGGAAAGGUGAAAAGCACCCCGGAAGGGGAGUGAAAUAGAUCCUGAAACCGUGUGCCUACAACAAGUCAAAGCUCGUUAAUGAGUGAUGGCGUGCCUUUUGUAGAAUGAACCGGCGAGUUACGAUUGCAUGCGAGGUUAAGUCGAAGAGACGGAGCCGCAGCGAAAGCGAGUCUGAAUAGGGCGAAUGAGUAUGUAGUCGUAGACCCGAAACCAUGUGAUCUACCCAUGUCCAGGUUGAAGGUGCGGUAAAACGCACUGGAGGACCGAACCCACGUACGUUGAAAAGUGCGGGGAUGAGGUGUGGGUAGCGGAGAAAUUCCAAACGAACUUGGAGAUAGCUGGUUCUCUCCGAAAUAGCUUUAGGGCUAGCCUCGGAAUUGAGAAUGAUGGAGGUAGAGCACUGUUUGGACUAGGGGCCCAUCUCGGGUUACCGAAUUCAGAUAAACUCCGAAUGCCAUUCAUUUAUAUCCGGGAGUCAGACUGCGAGUGAUAAGAUCCGUAGUCGAAAGGGAAACAGCCCAGACCACCAGCUAAGGUCCCAAAAUAUAUGUUAAGUGGAAAAGGAUGUGGGGUUGCACAGACAACUAGGAUGUUGGCUUAGAAGCAGCCACCAUUUAAAG
Molecule: ribosomal RNA, 1126 nt
Filed under: Enterococcus faecalis
Lineage: Bacteria; Bacillati; Bacillota; Bacilli; Lactobacillales; Enterococcaceae
Description: partial 23S ribosomal RNA
Rfam family: Bacterial large subunit ribosomal RNA
Source: RNAcentral